UACGUAGGUGGCAAGCGUUGUCCGGAUUUACUGGGUGUAAAGGGCGUGUAGCCGGGAAGGCAAGUCAGAUGUGAAAUCUGGAGGCUCAACCUCCAAAUUGCAUUUGAAACUGCUUCCCUUGAGUAUCGGAGAGGUAACCGGAAUUCCUAGUGUAGCGGUGAAAUGCGUAGAUAUUAGGAAGAACACCAGUGGCGAAGGCGGGUUACUGGACGACAACUGACGGUGAGGCUCGAAAGCGUGGGGAGCAAACAGG
RNAcentral lists this ribosomal RNA (253 nucleotides) under uncultured Oscillospira sp. RNAcentral describes it as "partial 16S ribosomal RNA". It matches the Rfam family "Bacterial small subunit ribosomal RNA", at positions 524 to 776 of the family's 1533-position model. Lineage: Bacteria; Bacillati; Bacillota; Clostridia; Eubacteriales; Oscillospiraceae. The record is from RNAcentral.